GUUAUUAAUAGCUUUGAUAUUUCAUGGUUUAGUUGGUUUAUGUUAUUCGAAUUCAUGUGGUUUUGGAUGAACUAUAGAACUUGUGGAUUUUGUGAAAAGGAAAAAUGGUUUUCUACCCCUCGUAGUAGCGUUUUAAAAAGAAAAGGUUUUCGUGUGGGAAACAGUUUUCAAAAGAGUUUUUCUUGUGGUUUUUAUGUUUAAACACUGAAUGGUAAAUAUCUGGUGAAUGGUGAAUGAAUGUUGAGAAUUGUCUAUUCAUAUAUUGUGAUUGUAUCCUGGUUAUACUCUGUUUGGACAUCUUGUACUUGCGUG
Molecule: long non-coding RNA, 312 nt
Filed under: Ananas comosus (pineapple)
Lineage: Eukaryota; Viridiplantae; Streptophyta; Magnoliopsida; Poales; Bromeliaceae
Description: long non-coding RNA (ACOM_LNC044855)
Source: RNAcentral